RNAcentral lists this ribosomal RNA (607 nucleotides) under uncultured bacterium. RNAcentral describes it as "bacterial SSU rRNA". It matches the Rfam family "Bacterial small subunit ribosomal RNA", at positions 80 to 683 of the family's 1533-position model. The record is from RNAcentral.
UUGCUUCUCUUGAGAGCGGCGGACGGGUGAGUAAUGCCUAGGAAUCUGCCUGGUAGUGGGGGAUAACGUCCGGAAACGGACGCUAAUACCGCAUACGUCCUACGGGAGAAAGCAGGGGACCUUCGGGCCUUGCGCUAUCAGAUGAGCCUAGGUCGGAUUAGCUAGUUGGUGGGGUAAUGGCUCACCAAGGCGACGAUCCGUAACUGGUCUGAGAGGAUGAUCAGUCACACUGGAACUGAGACACGGUCCAGACUCCUACGGGAGGCAGCAGUGGGGAAUAUUGGACAAUGGGCGAAAGCCUGAUCCAGCCAUGCCGCGUGUGUGAAGAAGGUCUUCGGAUUGUAAAGCACUUUAAGUUGGGAGGAAGGGCAGUAAAUUAAUACUUUGCUGUUUUGACGUUACCGACAGAAUAAGCACCGGCUAACUCUGUGCCAGCAGCCGCGGUAAUACAGAGGGUGCAAGCGUUAAUCGGAAUUACUGGGCGUAAAGCGCGCGUAGGUGGUUCGUUAAGUUGGAUGUGAAAUCCCCGGGCUCAACCUGGGAACUGCAUUCAAAACUGACGAGCUAGAGUAUGGUAGAGGGUGGUGGAAUUUCCUGUGUAGCGGUG